Molecule: ribosomal RNA, 178 nt
Filed under: Triticum aestivum (bread wheat)
Lineage: Eukaryota; Viridiplantae; Streptophyta; Magnoliopsida; Poales; Poaceae
Description: rRNA LSU_rRNA_eukarya
Rfam family: Bacterial large subunit ribosomal RNA
Source: RNAcentral
UUCUAUGGGGCGUAGGCCUCCCAAAAGGUAACGGAGGCGUGCAAAGGUUUCCUCGAGCCAGACGGACAUUGGUCCUCGAGUGCAAAGGCAGAAGGGAGCUUGACUGCAAGACUCACCCAUCGAGCAGAGAAGAAAGUCGGCCUUAGUGAUCUGACGGUGCCGAGUGGAAGGGCCGUCG